This 443-nucleotide ribosomal RNA is filed under the name uncultured bacterium. RNAcentral's name for it is "partial 16S ribosomal RNA". It matches the Rfam family "Bacterial small subunit ribosomal RNA", at positions 338 to 795 of the family's 1533-position model. The record is from RNAcentral.
CCUACGGGUGGCAGCAGUGGGGAAUAUUGGGCAAUGGGCGCAAGCCUGACCCAGCAACGCCGCGUGAAGGAAGAAGGCUUUCGGGUUGUAAACUUCUUUUCUCAGGGACGAAGAAAGUGACGGUACCUGAGGAAUAAGCCACGGCUAACUACGUGCCAGCAGCCGCGGUAAUACGUAGGUGGCAAGCGUUAUCCGGAUUUAUUGGGUGUAAAGGGCGUGUAGGCGGGAGCGCAAGUCAGAUGUGAAAACUCAGGGCUCAACCCUGAGCCUGCAUUUGAAACUGUGUUUCUUGAGUGCUGGAGAGGCCAUCGGAAUUCCGGGUGUAGCGGGGAAAUGCGUAGAUAUUCGGAGGAACACCGGUGGCGAAGGCGGCCAACUGGGCUUUAACUGACGCUGAGGCUCGAAAGUGUGGGGAGCAAACAGGAUUAGAUACCCGAGUAGUC